GGNAUUAAAAACAUCUUAGNGGUACAGAACUGUGAUCUCGAUCACUUAUAAUUACUAAUUUGUAUAUAUCGGGGGAUCACUGAAGAUUUUAUCGGAGAGUUUUUGCACUCGAAAGGGUUAAGAUGAAUAUUAAAUAAUCGGACAUAGAGUUCUAACGCUGUGUGUCUAAAGGGAAACAGCCCUAAACAAGAGUUAAUAAGGUUCCAAAAUUAUUGUUGAGUGAAAUAAAGGUUGUACCUUCGAAUACAAUCAGGUAAUAGGCUUAGAAGCGGCCAUUUACUGAUGAUCUCGUAACAGAGCACUGAUUUUAAACAAAAAAAGUUUAAUUAGAAGAUCAAACCUAAAAUUUAGCGGAUCUAAAUAAUAUACCGAAACCUUGUCCAUGUUUAUAAAUAUAUUUAUGUAUUAUAAAUAUGGGGUAGCAGAACAUUGGAUUGAGUUUUAGAUUUAUUCUUUAUAAGAAUAAAAAAUUAAGAAAUUCCAAGAGAUAAUGCUGACAUGAGUAACGAAAAAGAAUAACACUCGCCUAAAGCUUAUGGAAUUUAAUUUUACGGUCUCUAAGUAUAAACAAGUGUUGAUGAUGAGUAAUAGAAAAGAAAGGAAAAAAACGAAUAUAAUAAGUAAAACUUUUUAAAUUAGUGUGAUUAGUUCAGGAAAACUUUUUAGUAAAUGUAGCAUAAGUCAUCCAAUCUUUUACUACCGUACCUAGAAUCUAUCCACAAGUAAGCUAGUAGAGAGAUACGCAAGG
Molecule: ribosomal RNA, 748 nt
Filed under: Norrlinia peltigericola
Lineage: Eukaryota; Fungi; Ascomycota; Eurotiomycetes; Verrucariales; Verrucariaceae
Description: partial large subunit ribosomal RNA
Rfam family: Bacterial large subunit ribosomal RNA (bases 1-498)
Source: RNAcentral